RNAcentral lists this ribosomal RNA (348 nucleotides) under uncultured bacterium. Its description in RNAcentral is "bacterial SSU rRNA". It matches the Rfam family "Bacterial small subunit ribosomal RNA", at positions 1 to 334 of the family's 1533-position model. The record is from RNAcentral.
CUACGUAGCUCAGAGUUUGAUCCUGGCUCAGGACGAACGCUGGCGGCGUGCCUAACACAUGCAAGUCGAGCGGAGAAUGCGGACAUGUUUACAUGGAAGCAUUCUUAGCGGCGGACGGGUGAGUAACACGUGGGUAACCUGCCUCAAAGAGGGGGAUAGCCUUCCGAAAGGAAGAUUAAUACCGCAUAAGCCUGCAGUACCGCAUGGUACAGCAGGAAAAGGAGCAAUCCGCUUUGAGAUGGACCCGCGGCGCAUUAGCUAGUUGGUGAGGUAACGGCUCACCAAGGCGACGAUGCGUAGCCGACCUGAGAGGGUGAUCGGCCACAUUGGAACUGAGACACGGUCCAG